RNAcentral lists this non-coding RNA (45 nucleotides) under Schistosoma margrebowiei. Lineage: Eukaryota; Metazoa; Platyhelminthes; Trematoda; Strigeidida; Schistosomatidae. The record is from RNAcentral.
AUCUAGCUGACCGGUUUUGAAUAAGACGAAACGCGCGUCUUGGAU